This 1268-nucleotide long non-coding RNA is filed under the name Elaeis guineensis (African oil palm). RNAcentral describes it as "long non-coding RNA (EGUI_LNC021270)". Lineage: Eukaryota; Viridiplantae; Streptophyta; Magnoliopsida; Arecales; Arecaceae. The record is from RNAcentral.
CUUAUGCACAUGCAUUCAUACAUUUGGUCAUGCACCUUGAAGCACUAUAACUAACAUUUAACCAUGGCUACUCAAAUAAUAAUGGAUUGAUCCCAUCCACUCAUUUAUUGCAUUAAAUCUCAAUCAAGCAAUAUACCCUAACAAUGGGAAUUCCUCUUUGAUCUUUGAUUGAAGUAGGGAGGUCUGGCUCAAAUCAUGUCAUCGGUGCAUGGUGUGCAAUGGUCAAUGGUGGGUGAUCGGAUGAGAUCAGAGCAUAUAUGUCCUGCUUUAUCCAAUCAUGGGUUUGGGUUGUAUCCUUUGCGUGAAAGAAUGAUCACGACAUCAACCUUCAAAUAAUGAUCUGCAUAUAUCUCAAAGCACUUUAAACUCCAUCCAUCUGUCUGGGCAAAUUUCAAGGUGGUCAUUUUGCGAUCCAAUGAUAGAUUCACACAAAGAAAGUUGAGUCCUUCUUUCAUGUGAAAAACACAAACCCUGCCCUACAUGAGUUGUAUGUAUGUAUGUAUGUACGUACGUAUAUACUAUAAGAGUUGUUGCAUAUGUGGGCUUCAUUUAUUUGACACUCCAACGGUGUCCCCUCAAAGAUCCAGAACUGCAAUGCAAGCCACAAUAAGCUCCAAGUAACAUUGAUCCAUAGGAGCAUGGGUAGAGCAGUGGGCCAAGAAUUGAAAACUACCCCCGUGAGUGGUGGCUCCACCACCAUUGGCACUUCUUAUUGUAGUGCAUGAUGGCGGCCUAUGCCUAAAUCGGGCCUCCUGCUCACCAAGGUGGAGCCACAACAAUGAUGUGGAUGCCAAGGGAUCUUUCCCCGGUGCCGUCCACUUGGCGUGUACGAAGUCUUUUGGUCAUUACCACGCUGUUUGGAGACAUAAUAUUAGCUUUUUUUGUAUUCUUGUGUAAAUGCAUCCAAAAAAAUUAAAAAUAAAAUAUUCCAAAGUGGCCUCGGGAUCUCCCUCAUUUCAGUCCAAAAUGACAACUCAUAGUGCUCCACAAUAAAAGCAGUCACCUAAUCAAUUGCCAUAUUUGCCUUCCAAAAGAUGUGUUUGAUGAUAAGAUCCGCACAGCCGUUCAAUAAAAUCGAUAUGUCUUAUGAAAGGGGGAUGGACUGUAUUACCCCACAUACACUCCUAAAUCCAAAUCAUAAUCGUGAUCAAGUCAUCCUCAAUGAUCAAAUGAUCGGCACGUAAGAUUCGAUGUGUAUAAACGAUCCUAGCUCACGUGGCUCGAAACUCCAUAGCAAGAAUCGAGAGCUCAAAGAGAUGACUACCCCC